RNAcentral lists this long non-coding RNA (5539 nucleotides) under Manihot esculenta (cassava). Its description in RNAcentral is "long non-coding RNA (MESC_LNC011864)". The record is from RNAcentral. Lineage: Eukaryota; Viridiplantae; Streptophyta; Magnoliopsida; Malpighiales; Euphorbiaceae.
UAUUUAUAUGGUCUUGGGGUAAUAAAAUUCAACAUAAACUCUCACACUCAAAGCCGCUUGUUUGCUCUAAAGAAGACUUGCCAUUAAUGGAAGCCAAAGAAUUUAUCCACCUCUUUAAUUCCUGCUGGUUUGAGAUGGAAAUUCUCGAGAAUUAAUCACGCUUAUUGAAAUCAUCAGAUGCUGAUGCCAACCCAGUUCACCAAAAUCAGGAAGAAGCAUCAAAACCAGAGCUUUACAGAGUGCCAACGAUUAUUUCAAGGUCCAUGAGUGAUCAGUUGUGGCCCAAAGCAAGCUUCGGCUCUGGUUUAUCUCUCUCUCCGGACUCAGUCCUCCCCACGUCAAAGCUCCAAACAAUCCUUUUAGACAUGGAGAUAGAAGAAGACGAAAUACAAACACAAAGACCAUAUGUACAAAAAUCGCAUACGAGGAAGACGAGAAGUAGGAGACCAGAGAAGAGAACAUUGAGCAAAAGUCUAUCAGAAUUGGAAUUUGAAGAGUUGAAAGGGUUUAUGGAUUUGGGAUUUGUGUUUUCUGAGGAAGACAAGGAUUCAAGCUUAGUUUCAAUAAUUCCAGGGUUGCAAAGACUUGGAAAAAAAGAUGGCAAAGAAGAGAGUGGCGGUGUUGAUGAAGCCACAGUUUCAAGGCCAAUGCGGUCCUAGUGAAAAAAGCUAACGGAAAGUGGAGAAUGUGCAGAUUUCACUGACCUAAAUAAAGCAUAUCCAAAAGAUCAUUACCUAUUGUCGUCCAUCAACAGAUUAGUGGACUCGACCUUAAGUCAUACGGUAGUCUCUUUCCUUGAUAUUAUCUCAGGAUAUUAAUCAAAUCAUGUUGGAUACUGAGAACGCAGAAAAGAUCGCAUUUAUAACAGACAAAGGAGUUUACUGCUACAAGAUAAUCCCUUUUAAUUUAAAAAUGCAGGAGCCACGUACCAAAGGUUGGUGUCAGGGAUCUUUAAGGACAUAGUGGGAUCAACCACCGAAGUAUACUUAGACGACAUGGUGGUAAAAAACUUAUCAUUGGAAGAACACUCGGAGGAUAUUCGGAGAGCCUUUGAUGUCUUGGACAAGAUGGGCAUGAAACUGAACCCGGAAAAGUGUACCUUUAGGGUAAAGGCUGGAAAGUUCCUAAGAUAUAUCAUCUUAGAAAGGGGUAUAGAAGUGAAUACUGAGAAAAUCAGCGCUAUCCAAAACAUGGAAGCACCCAAAACUAUCAACGGAAUACAGAGGUUAAAUGGGUGAGUCAUUGCCCUAGGACGAUUCAUAUCAUUCUCGGUCAGAAGGUGUCUCCCAUUCUUUAAAGUCUUAAAAGGCAAAUGUAAGUUUGAAUGGGGGAAGAGUGUGCAGACACUCAGUCCGACGUCAAGACUCACCCUUCCCUCAAAUGGGCAAGUCUCGGCACAAGGUUACUAUUAACAUACAUAAUCCAGUAUAUACCCAUUGCACCUAUAAUCGUGGGAUUGUCAACUUAUUAGCUGGCAAUAUCCCUUAUUAAGCAGACAGCCACAUCAUCGCUGAAUUAUUAGAAAAUUCUAUAUUUAUCACCAUCUUCCUACAAUAUAAAAGAAGAACGAUCACAGCGGCAAAUGUACGUUAAUAAGCAAUUUCUUGCAUUCUUUAUACUCGUUGAUACUGACUUGAGUGUCGGAGUGACUACCGUGGGCACCCACUACCACCUCAUGUUUUCUUUCUUACAGGUUCUAGCCAAUCACAACUCAGUCCCAUUUCGAACACAUCAUCAAUCUAAACUCAACAAUAUCAAUUUUAAUAGAUUUUACAAAAUCAAUAGAGACCCAUUAAAUAUAAAACAUUCAAAGGUUCAAAUUAACAGAAAAACUAAUUAGUAGAUUUUUUUAAAAAUUUUAGUGAUAUUUUUAUGUAUUUUUCAAAAUCAAUAGAGAUCCAUUAAAUAUAAAACAUUCAAGAGUUCAAACUAACAAAAUAACUAAUUAGUAGAUUUUUUUUUAAAUUUUAGUGAUAUUUUUAUAUAUUUUUUAAAAUCAAUAGAAACCUAUUAAUAAGCUCCCUUAUACCAUAGAAAUAAAAUGCAUCUGACUCGGUUAUUUUCAACAACGAUAACUAAACAACGUAGAUAUUACCUGUAACGACCCGAAAACCGGACUACCACCGGCGCUAUGAUCCAGACCGGUUUAAGGCCGCCGAAACCCGUAGCAAGCCUAACAUACAACCUGUAUACCUGAUAAAUCCCAUACAUGAUCAACAUAUACAUAAAACUUAAAACUUUCUCUUUCAUUUACCAAACUCAACCUGUGCAUGCACAACUCAUAAGUAUAACCAUCAACCCCACACUGGAGUCCUCAUCAAUGCUCUAAUGGGGUAACAUAACAUAUAUUAAAUUUGGUUUACAUAAACAUUGUUAAAACAUUUUAUAGAUCAUGUAUCAAAGGGAAUAACCAUACACAUAGGGUCAAGCACAAUUCUAAUCCUCAACAUCAAUAUUACAUGACUAAUCAAUACUUUACAAUUCAUCUAUUUCAAAAAAAAAAAAAAAAAACUUUACAAUUCAUCAUGCCCACAUCUAACUAUUACAUAAACAUAACUUUACUCUUCUUGACCUCUUGGCCUAUCCCGUACCUGCAUACCUGGGGGAUUAGGGAAAUGGGGUGAGCUACUAGAACCCAGUGAGCAGAAUAAUAAAACAGUUAAAACAUAUGCUAUAAUGGAAUGCAUCACAUCACAGACAAAUCACAUCAAGGAUGGACUUGUCACCAGUAGUCCUCUACAUAGUCCAACUGUGCCAGGGGUGUAGAAUGGGCCUCACUGGUCUUUCUCUUACAUUACAUAAUAUAACAUUCCAACUGUGCCAUAGGCGUAGAAUGGGCCUCACUGGUCUUUCUCUUACAUUGUGCCAUGGGCGUAGAAUGGGUCUCACCGGUCUUCCAUACCGUAUCAUCAUCAUAUCAUAUCAUACGAGGACUAAAGGAUCAUCCAACAUCCAUCCACAUCAACAUCAAAUAAUGCAAUGCAACAUAUUCGUGAAUUCUAAUGCAAGCAUCCUAAUGUAUCUCAUGGCAUUCAUGAUGCGUGAAUCAUGUCAAAACUUUCAUUAUUUGCUUUGAAAUGUAAAGAGUCAUUCUACUCACCUCAGGCUAGCUCUGACAAGACACUGAAGCAACUGUCUCACUGCUGGGGUCCUCGGUUCCUCGGGUCCGAACCUACACAGGUGGACUCAAAUGAUGAACCAAACAUACUUGAACAUGACUCUAAAAUACUCCCCAAAAACCCCCUAAAACACAUUAAAACAAUCAUACAAAUCAUGCAAAGGAAGGCUGAACAGGGCACUUUCGGCGGCAGGUUCGGUGGCCAAAAGUCCCUCCAAAGCCGAAAGUCAUGCACCUUCGGCGGCACUUUCGGCGGCCGAAGGUUCCUUCCAGAGAUGAAACUCAUGCAUGUUCGGCGGCACCUUCGGCGGCCGAAACUCCCUUCUAGAGCCGAAAGUCCACUUUCGGGGGCAGGGUUCGGCAGCCAAAGGCUUGCCUCCACAGGCAGGUUCGGCGGCCGAAAGUCCCUUCGGCUGCCGAACCUGAGUUCUUCCAAAGGGCAGAACUCAGCCUCCACAAUGCACAUUUGUCUCCCAAACCAUUAAAUCAUGCAUUUACCUAUUCUACAACAAGCAAACUCAAGCCAACAAGUAUAUAGGGGUCUCAAACUAACCUAAACCCCAACUAAAACACAUCAAACAUACAUAUACAACACACAUUGCCCAUAUGCUCAUCAUUAAUAAAAAAACUCAAUAUUAACCUAAACAUGCAUUUCUACCCCAUAAACUUUCAUAAAACUUGUUUAAAACAUGAAAUGAGCUAAGGAUCUACUCUUACCUCUUGAAGAUCGAGAGGAGAGGCGAUCCAACUCGGAGAUAGGAGAGAUCGAGCUCCUUGGGUCUCCAAGCUCUAAAACUUGCUCUUUUGCUCAAAUGUCUUCAAACCAAGAUAAAACUUAUUAAAACUCGAAAGAUUUGAGGAAAAACACCAAAAAUCAACCAUGGGAGAGCAUGGACUCACCGUUGGCCGAAAAUGGGGAGAAAGCUCGCCCGUUUCGGCCAUGGAGCCCUUAUAUAGGGGCUGGCCAGACCACCCUUCGGCAGCCUAAAGUGCCUUCAAAACUCAUGCAAGUUCGGCGGCCAAACAUAGGGUUCGGCGGCCGAACCUGAGCCACUUUCGGAAGCCUAACUUGCUCCCCUAAACUAUCCCAUGUUCGGCGGCCGAACCUGGAAAUGUCUCCAUGGUCUUUUUCAUUAAAAACUCAGUUUCUUUCUUACUUAAAAAUCAUAAAAUACAUUAAAACAUUUUAUAAAAACAUUAUUUUACCGUUCUAGAGGUUUCCGACAUCCGAGAUUCCACCGGACGGUAGGAAUUCCGAUACCGGAGUCUAGCCUGGUAUUACAUUAUCAUUCAAAUAUAAAACUUACAUGUUGAUAACAGUCAUACCAAUGAUUUAAUUCUAAUUCAAUAGGUUGCAAAUACUUAAUUAUAUUUAAGAUAAAAAUAAAAAAAUCAAAAUUUUAAAAUUUAGAGACAGAAUGGCCGGUUAUUUUUAAGAACAAUAGCUAAAAAAAAUUUGAUAUUACUAUUUGAAUUUAAAACCGACACGUUGAUACUCAAAAUUUUAAUAGCCAUAUAAAAGAUAUUUUAAAAGGUAUUUAAUCUUCAUUUCUGUCAACUCCCAUCAUCUUUCUUUAGCUGAAUGCAUUUAUUUCUCUGAUACUCUCUUUGCAAUUAUGAAGUAUGGCUAAACAAUAUUCUAUUUAUAUUGAACCUAAUGCUUUAAUAGUUUGGCUUAUGGGGAAAUACACUUUAAAACUUUUGACAUGUUAAUUUUUUUUAAAAUAGAGGACUAAAAAUUUGAGAGUAGAAUUCGAGACUUUUCAAAUGCACUUUAUCAUCGGAUUAAGUCUGUAAAUACGACACGUUAACUUUUAUCAAUUCAAUUUUUACCCAUACUAUUAUUUGCGAAUAGAAAAAAUAUUAUUUUUAUUUUUUAUAUGAUUUUUUGAACUUAAAUCGUGUUCUCUUUUAACUAUAUUGAAUAAGGAACACGGAAAAUAAAAAUAAAAAUAAAAAAUAAAAACCAAAUGCCACACGAUCAAAAGAAAAUGUUAAAAUUAAAUCAAAACGUGGGAAUAUCAAUGGAAUAUUUGAAUCUUUUGUGUAAUAAACAAGUAAUCUGAAGGGCAAUUUUGGUAACAUGUGCAGUAUUUGUAUGGUCUUGGAGUAAUAAAAUUCAACAUAAACUCUCACACUCAAAGCAAUUUUGAUAACAUAUCCAGUAUUUAUAUGGUCUUGGGGUAAUAAAAUUCAACAUAAACUCUCACACUCAAAGCCGCUUGUUUGCUCUAAAGAAGACUCGCCAUUAAUGGAAGCCAAAGAUUUUAUCCACCUCUUUAAUUCCUGCUGGUUUGAGAUGGAAAUUCUCAAGAAUCAAUCACGUUUAUUGAAAUCAUCAGAUGCUGAUGCCAACCCAGUUCACCAAAAUCAGGAAGAAGCAUCAAAACCAGAGCUUUACAGAGUGCCAACGAUUAUUUC